UACGUAGGGUGCGAGCGUUAAUCGGAAUUACUGGGCGUAAAGUGUGCGCAGGCGCAAAGCAAGUCGAGUGUGAAAGCCCCCGGGCUUAACUUGGGAAUUGCGCUCGAAACUACUUUGCUGGAGUGUGGCAGAGGAAGGUGGAAUUCCACGUGUAGCGGUGAAAUGACGUAGAGAUGUGGAGGAACACCGAAUGGCGAAAG
RNAcentral lists this ribosomal RNA (200 nucleotides) under uncultured bacterium. Its description in RNAcentral is "partial 16S ribosomal RNA". It matches the Rfam family "Bacterial small subunit ribosomal RNA", at positions 524 to 721 of the family's 1533-position model. The record is from RNAcentral.